Paramuricea clavata is the source of this 80-nucleotide non-coding RNA. Lineage: Eukaryota; Metazoa; Cnidaria; Anthozoa; Malacalcyonacea; Plexauridae. The record is from the annotation of a GenBank genome assembly.
UAGAUAAUCCGAAAAUUGAAAGCAUUUUGAAAAAUUGUUUUCAAUGGUUUUCAAAAUGCUUUCAAUUUUCGGAGUAUCUA